GACGAACGCUGGCGGCGUGCCUAAUACAUGCAAGUCGAGCGAAGUUUUUCUGGUGCUUGCACUAGAAAAACUUAGCGGCGAACGGGUGAGUAACACGUAAAGAACCUGCCUCAUAGACUGGGACAACUAUUGGAAACGAUAGCUAAUACCGGAUAACAGUAUUUCUCGCAUGAGAGAUAUUUAAAAGUUGGUUAUGCUAACACUAUGAGAUGGCUUUGCGGUGCAUUAGCUAGUUGGUGGGGUAAAGGCCCACCAAGGCGACGAUGCAUGGCCGACCUGAGAGGGUGAUCGGCCACACUGGGACUGAGACACGGCCCAGACUCCUACGGGAGGCAGCAGUAGGGAAUCUUCCGCAAUGGGCGAAAGCCUGACGGAGCAACGCCGCGUGAGUGAAGAAGGAUUUCGGUUCGUAAAGCUCUGUUGUUGGGGAAGAAUGGAUAUGUAGUAACUAUACAUGUAAGAGACGGUACCUAACCAGAAAGCCACGGCUAACUACGUG
RNAcentral lists this ribosomal RNA (499 nucleotides) under uncultured bacterium. RNAcentral's name for it is "partial 16S ribosomal RNA". It matches the Rfam family "Bacterial small subunit ribosomal RNA", at positions 28 to 507 of the family's 1533-position model. The record is from RNAcentral.